Molecule: ribosomal RNA, 465 nt
Filed under: Vreelandella stevensii
Lineage: Bacteria; Pseudomonadati; Pseudomonadota; Gammaproteobacteria; Oceanospirillales; Halomonadaceae
Description: partial 16S ribosomal RNA
Rfam family: Bacterial small subunit ribosomal RNA
Source: RNAcentral
GCUACGGGGGGCAGCAGUGGGGAAUAUUGGACAAUGGGGGGAACCCUGAUCCAGCCAUGCCGCGUGUGUGAAGAAGGCCCUCGGGUUGUAAAGCACUUUCAGUGAGGAAGAACGCCUGGUGGUUAAUACCCAUCAGGAAAGACAUCACUCACAGAAGAAGCACCGGCUAACUCCGUGCCAGCAGCCGCGGUAAUACGGAGGGUGCGAGCGUUAAUCGGAAUUACUGGGCGUAAAGCGCGCGUAGGUGGCUUGAUAAGCCGGUUGUGAAAGCCCCGGGCUCAACCUGGGAACGGCAUCCGGAACUGUCAAGCUAGAGUGCAGGAGAGGAAGGUAGAAUUCCCGGUGUAGCGGUGAAAUGCGUAGAGAUCGGGCGGAAUACCAGUGGCGAAGGCGGCCUUCUAGACUGACACUGACACUGAGGUGCGAAAGCGUGGGUAGCAAACAGGAUUAGAUACCCUUGUAGUC